AAUCAACGCUGGCGGCGUGCCUAACACAUGCAAGUCGAGCGCGGAAAGCGGGGCAACUCGCAAGUAGAGCGGCGAACGGGUGAGUAACACGUGGGUGAUCCUGCCUCCGGAGUGGGGAACAACAGCGGGAAACUGCUGCUAAUACCGCAUGACAUCUUCGGGUCACACUGAAGAUCAAAGCCGGGGACCGCAAGGCCUGGCGCUUGGAGAGGAGCCCG
Molecule: ribosomal RNA, 218 nt
Filed under: uncultured bacterium
Lineage: Bacteria
Description: partial 16S ribosomal RNA
Rfam family: Bacterial small subunit ribosomal RNA
Source: RNAcentral